Molecule: ribosomal RNA, 301 nt
Filed under: uncultured bacterium
Lineage: Bacteria
Description: partial 16S ribosomal RNA
Rfam family: Bacterial small subunit ribosomal RNA
Source: RNAcentral
CAGCCGCCGCGGUAAUACGAAGGGGGCUAGCGUUGUUCGGAUUUACUGGGCGUAAAGCGCACGUAGGCGGAUUCUUAAGUCAGAGGUGAAAUCCCAAGGCUCAACCUUGGAACUGCCUUUGAUACUGGGGAUCUUGAGUUCGGGAGAGGUGAGUGGAACUGCGAGUGUAGAGGUGAAAUUCGUAGAUAUUCGCAAGAACACCAGUGGCGAAGGCGGCUCACUGGCCCGAUACUGACGCUGAGGUGCGAAAGCGUGGGGAGCAAACAGGAUUAGAUACCCCGGUAGUCCCUGUCUCUUAUAC